CGGCAACGGAUAUCUCGGCUCUCGCAUCGAUGAAGAACGUAGCAAAAUGCGAUACUUGGUGUGAAUUGCAGAAUCCCGUGAAUCAUCGAGUCUUUGAACGCAAGUUGCGCCCGAAGCCUUUAGGCCGAGGGCACGUCUGCCUGGGCGUCAUG
This 152-nucleotide ribosomal RNA is filed under the name Lenophyllum acutifolium. RNAcentral describes it as "5.8S ribosomal RNA". It matches the Rfam family "5.8S ribosomal RNA". Rfam says of the family: 5.8S ribosomal RNA (5.8S rRNA) is a component of the large subunit of the eukaryotic ribosome. It is transcribed by RNA polymerase I as part of the 45S precursor that also contains 18S and 28S rRNA. The record is from RNAcentral. RNAcentral also lists the same sequence under 7 other names. Lineage: Eukaryota; Viridiplantae; Streptophyta; Magnoliopsida; Saxifragales; Crassulaceae.